AGCCCUGAGGUGUGAACAUGUUAGAUUGCAAAUCUAAAGAAGUAGAGUAAAGUCUACCGGGGCUU
This 65-nucleotide transfer RNA is filed under the name Thaumatichthys pagidostomus. Its description in RNAcentral is "tRNA-Cys". RNAcentral also lists the same sequence under 1 other name. Lineage: Eukaryota; Metazoa; Chordata; Actinopteri; Lophiiformes; Thaumatichthyidae. The record is from RNAcentral.